UACGAAGGGGGCUAGCGUUGCUCGGAAUCACUGGGCGUAAAGCGCACGUAGGCGGACUCUUAAGUCGGUGGUGAAAUCCUGGAGCUCAACUCCAGAACUGCCUUCGAUACUGGGAGUCUCGAGUUCGGGAGAGGUGAGUGGAACUGCGAGUGUAGAGGUGAAAUUCGUAGAUAUUCGGAGGAACACCAGUGGCGAAGGCGGCUCGCUGGCUCGAUACUGACGCUGAGGUGCGAAAGCGUGGGGAGCAAACAGG
Molecule: ribosomal RNA, 253 nt
Filed under: uncultured bacterium
Lineage: Bacteria
Description: partial 16S ribosomal RNA
Rfam family: Bacterial small subunit ribosomal RNA
Source: RNAcentral